Molecule: ribosomal RNA, 654 nt
Filed under: uncultured archaeon
Lineage: Archaea
Description: bacterial SSU rRNA
Rfam family: Archaeal small subunit ribosomal RNA
Source: RNAcentral
GCCUAAAGCGUCCGUAGCCGGCUUUGUAAGUUUUCGGUUAAAUCUAUAUGCUCAACAUAUAGGCUGCCGGGAAUACUGCAAAGCUAGGGAGUGGGAGAGGUAGACGGUACUCGGGAGGAAGUGGUAAAAUGCUUUGAUCUCUCGAUGACCACCUGUGGCGAAGGCGGUCUACCAGAACACGUCCGACGGUGAGGGAUGAAAGCUGGGGGAGCAAACCGGAUUAGAUACCCGGGUAGUCCCAGCUGUAAACUAUGCAAACUCAGUGAUGCAUUGGCUUGUGGCCAAUGCAGUGUUGCAGGGAAGCCGUUAAGUUUGCCGCCUGGGAAGUACGUACGCAAGUAUGAAACUUAAAGGAAUUGGCGGGGGAGCACCACAAGGGGUGAAGCCUGCGGUUCAAUUGGAGUCAACGCCAGAAAUCUUACCCGGAGAGACAGCAGAAUGAAGGUCAAGCUGAAGACUUUACCAGACAAGCUGAGAGGUGGUGCAUGGCCGUCGCCAGCUCGUGCCGUGAGAUGUCCUGUUAAGUCAGGUAACGAGCGAGAUCCCUGCCUCUAGUUGCCACCAUUACUCUCAGGAGUAGUGGGGCGAAUUAGCGGGACCGCCGCAGUUAAUGCGGAGGAAGGAAGGGGCCACGGCAGGUCAGUAUGCCCCGAA